AAAAAAAAAAAAAAAAAAAAAAAAAAAAAAAACACAAGACUACAGUCAUUUUUAGGGCACUUGGACAUUUUUGGUGUAAUUUUCCUCCUUUUGCACCCACAUAUUUCCCCUCCCAAGUUGAUUCUAGAACCUUUAGCAGCCAGCUCUUCCCUUUAGCAAAACCCUCUGCUGCAAUCAUUUUAACUACGGAGGAAUUGACAUUUAGACAUAAAUAUCUACUAAGACUUAAUGAUUCCAAAGACUUGUUUUAUUUAUUAAGCUGGGGAUGAGAAACAGAAGCUCAUGUGUUUUCAGGUCCACCCAGAAAUAAGCUCUAGUAAAAGAGAGGAAAGAAUUCCUUGUGUGUGCCUUGGGUGCUUAUUAAGUUAGGGAAGAGGGCCAGUGGGUAAGAUGGCCAUCACUUCCGUAUCCUUUUCCAGACUCAUGUAGCAACUGUAAGGAGGUGAGAAGACUUGUAGGCUUGAUGAAUUCCUCAGUGGAAAAGCCCCAGUACACAGUGGGCAGGUAAAAUGCCUGCCCCUCGUGAAUAAGGCUCUGAGUUCUGUGCCCAGUGCUGCAUAAAAGCUCCAUUUAAAAUUAACUAGUGUUUUAGACAGCAUAGACCCUCAUGCUGCAGAAGGCAUGCCGGAAGGCCCACCAGCUGAGUUCUCCACCACGAAGAGCCUGGAGGCCAUGGGUUUAAGUCCUUUGCUACUAAAAGAACACUACAAUGAGCAACCCAACCAUGAGUGCCUCUGUGAACACCAGUGGUGUUUUGAAGAACUGGUCCUACAGGCGUCAUUGCUGGAUGCACACUGCACGGGCACGCUGCAGAUGCGUCACAUCAUUCAGGAACAGCACGCAGGAACUGAUUCUCAACAGCCUCUGACAGGCAUGUGGCUGAGAAACACCUGGAGAGAGAAAAUAAAAUCAUUGACUGACUGCUCUGGGGAACAACUGGGCUUUCUCAUUUCCUUCUGGGCUGUGGUGUCAGCUGAGGACACUGUCCUGUAUGGAACAAAGGUGGCAAUGUUUGCAUUAUGGGGUUCCCCAGGAAUCAGGGAAGCUGGGGAUGGAAAAGAAGCAGGAGGCACGACAUUUGGGGCUAUACUAAAAUGAUCCAAGGUCCCAAAUUCACCAUCUCGGGUACUUAAAAUUUCACAGCAGUUUGAAGAAAAUGACUACCUCAUUUUCCUUCUCUCACACAAGUAAUUCAAAAACAAACAAACAAACAAACAAAAACACCAAUUUGGGAAGCUGAGAAAGGUGGAGCCCCAGAGCCCCGCCCCUUAGAAAUAUGAAGGAACCGCAGGCUCCUGAAUGGCCACUAGGUGGCACUAGUACGGAGCUGAUUCAGAGGUCAGAGCUCUACAUUCAUUCUUUCAAAAAACCAUCUCUUUUUAUCAACCUAGGGCAGCGACACUGAGGUAAACUGGAAGCUCGAGCUUGAAUCCGGCUGCACUUAUAAUCCCAUGGCGAGCCUUUUAUGUGAUUGCAGCGUUUAUCAUUAAUAGCGCAUUUGCUUCUGCAUCGGGGGCCUGAAUUAGCAGAGGUUUAAUAAUGGAAAGCAGCCUAAUGUUUACACUAAGCUAAGCAAGGUCACCCGGGUAUUCAGAGAAAUGACCUGAGCAGUCUCCCAGCAGGAUUAAUGUAAAUGAAGCCUUUCGUUGAUUAGCUUUGUUCCGCUGCCCUGCGCUUUCGAAAUGACAGGUUUCAGAGGAUCACAGUUUAAUUACAUAAUCAUACAAAAUAAUAUUUAAUAAAGCACAGAGCAAGCAAACACACUGGCAACAUUUCCUGGCUAUUACCAGCGACUGGAGGCAGCUUGAUACCGGCUUAAUUCUUCACUCUUGCAGAGCCCGGGUUAGAGAAGGAUCUGGAGAACAAUCGACAGGAUGGUAAUGGUUGAGCAGUAUGUGGCAUCCGAGUACUGUUCACAGUGCAUAGGGAGUGUGCAAUACAAAAAUAAUAAACAAUAAUAAAAAAAAAAACCUUCCCUGCUCACCAGUGACAGAGUUUCAAAUCAAUAAUUUAAAUGGGUUUUGCACUGCUCCUGUGCCGACUUCAUUACCAGGGUUUGAUUCCUUUGAAAUCAUUUCCCAUCCACCACUCCUUUUCACCUUGCAGGUCUUAGAACAGAGCUACCUAGGAGAGAUUCUGUGUGGGGUCGGGGGAGGGGAUGUUUAAACCGCAGAUUUAGGAUAAAUGCAGGCCUCUGCAUCCUGAGCUGGCCUUGUCCACGUGACUCAAUUUCAGGCGCCUUGUCACAUUCCUCAAAACAAACUCUGUGCUAGGGUAGAGAUGGCUUCAUUACCUCCAUCCUGGGGAAACUGGAUUGGUCUGGUUUCAAGUGGGGGGGGGGAACGGAAGGACAGGGUGUUGUUCUUUUAAGUUUAAAAAUUAAAAAGGCGCGAGAUGGAACCGGCGCGAUGGAACACGAACCAUGGAGAGUACAUUAAACAUAGAGUUUAUUCUAGGGCGUGAGAGAGAGAGACAGAGGGUAGGAGAGAGACAGGAAGGUAAGAGAGAGCACGAGAGUAAGAGAGCGUAAGAGGGCGGGGUCUGUCUUUUAAAGGGUCCUUUAUACCUGCUGCAACUAGUACCCGUGGAACCCUGGGCUGACUGGUGCUGGUAUUGCCUGAGUGCAUUCUGCCAGAUAACCGGGGUAAGCCAGUGUAAUGCCUGAACCUUCCACAGGGUGUGGUUUUGAAGUACAGAAAACCUCUCUCUAGAUAUCCAAGAGGUCAGAAUGGAUCUUGAGUUCCUGCUUAAAUUCACAGGCAGAAAUUCAGGUGAGAGCAGGUUUCUCUGGAAUGGAUGGAGUUCAGCACAAGGAAAAGCUACAUGGGUCUGUUAUUGUUGUAUAAUGAUUUAUCAGUUCUUUGCUCCAGGUUUCCGGAAGCAUCUAAAACACUUGUAAUUUCCUGGUGCUAGGAGCACCUGACCUCACUUCAGCUUAGGAUAAUGAGCAGGCUCUGGAUAGCAGCUAGUUCCCUAUCAUGAGCCUGAGCCCAGAACAGGUGGGGAGUUGCAUAAUGAAAGUUCAAUAAAAGGCCGGAGGAGGGGCAGGGUGCAGGAGCUCAUUGGGCUUAUUGGUUGGUGAACGCAUCCAUGCAAAGAGGACUAGAAACUAGUCACUAGAAAACACCUUUCUGGAUACUUCCAGACUCUUGCCCUAUGUCUCUUCCUUUGGUUGGUCCUGAUUUUUAUCCUUUACAAUAAAAUUGUAAGUGAAAAACUUC
Cricetulus griseus (Chinese hamster) is the source of this 3221-nucleotide non-coding RNA. The record is from RefSeq and is a predicted model, not a curated record. Lineage: Eukaryota; Metazoa; Chordata; Mammalia; Rodentia; Cricetidae.